Molecule: ribosomal RNA, 190 nt
Filed under: Campylobacter jejuni
Lineage: Bacteria; Pseudomonadati; Campylobacterota; Epsilonproteobacteria; Campylobacterales; Campylobacteraceae
Description: partial 16S ribosomal RNA
Rfam family: Bacterial small subunit ribosomal RNA
Source: RNAcentral
UUUUAUGGAGAGUUUGAUCCUGGCUCAGAGUGAACGCUGGCGGCGUGCCUAAUACAUGCAAGUCGAACGAUGAAGCUUUUAGCUUGCUAGAAGUGGAUUAGUGGCGCACGGGUGAGUAAGGUAUAGUUAAUCUGCCCUACACAAGAGGACAACAGUUGGAAACGACUGCUAAUACUCUAUACUCCUGCUU